GGAUUAGAUACCCUGGUAGUCCACGCCGUAAACGAUGUGUGCUAGACGUUGGUGGUUCAGCCAUCGGUGUCGCAGCUAACGCGUUAAGCACACCGCCUGGGGAGUACGGUCGCAAGAUUAAAACUCAAAGGAAUUGACGGGGGCCCGCACAAGCGGUGGAGCAUGUGGUUUAAUUCGACGCAACGCGCAGAACCUUACCAGCCCUUGACAUGGGGAUCGCGAGUAGUGGAGACACUUCUCUUCAGUUCGGCUGGAUCCCACACAGGUGCUGCAUGGCUGUCGUCAGCUCGUGCCG
This 295-nucleotide ribosomal RNA is filed under the name uncultured bacterium. Its description in RNAcentral is "partial 16S ribosomal RNA". It matches the Rfam family "Bacterial small subunit ribosomal RNA", at positions 775 to 1067 of the family's 1533-position model. The record is from RNAcentral.